CACGCUUGUCUCGUCUUUGCCUUUGUCUCCUGAGGGAUGGACACUGUUACGAAAGACGGAUGUGUUUGAUGCUGAAGUCACACAGUGUCCUGCCAGCAUCAGUUAAACGAUGAAUCUUGUACGAGAGGGAUUCACGUCUGGGACAGAGAGGAGAAGAGCUCCUGGGAUUUGCAGAAGAAAGAGGCCUGGGGACAAGUAGAUGUCAUCACUGGGGCCCCAGGAAGACCUUAUGGGGCCUGUAGACUCUUCCUUUGGAGCCUUGGUCUUAGCAGUGUUGUUUUCUGGCCCUUGGCGGAUGGCUACUAUACCGGGGAGUUACUUGCCUCUGUAAGUAACUCUGAAGGCCACUUCGCCUUAGGAUGGCGGGUAAUUAAGUCUAGAGGAGUGAGAGAGCAGAUACGUUCUCAGUUCAUGGGUGAAUGAGAGCCAAGGUUAUUGUAGAAGAGGCUGGAUGAGCUCAGAGAGUCACAGCUGAAAGAGAUUUCCCUCCAACAGAGGGAGAGGCACAUUCACUACCUGAAGUCUGACACUGAGAAACCAAACAGCCCUCAGAAGACCUAUGAAGUACAAAAGGACCAGGAUGUGAGCAGAAAGGAAGCGAGUGGAAGAGUAGGAGGCAGGGCUGUUACUAAAGGAACACGUGCCCGGGCAUUAACUGGAGGUUGCCCACAUGUGUCAUCACCACAUUAAACAGAGUCAACGUGUUUCUCAAGCACAAAUCUCCCACAAGUGCUUAAAAUAUCAUCAUUGCUAAACAGAGUAUGGCCUCCUGGUCAUGUGACCUUGAGCCAGCCACACUAUCAUUUUCUAAGAUCUAGCUGUGGAUCUACUGAGGCUUUGUAUUAUUAAGUUUGUGCUUCACCCUACCCCCAUUCUCCAUAGCUUAAGAAUUAGUAGAAUUCCAAAAGGCCAAGGCUGGGAAAAAAGGAGGUUUGAAAUUUUCUAGUGAGGCUGCUCUCUUUACCUCCCACCCGAGGAAACUGAGACCCAGGACUGGAAUCACACAGCUCAGGGCUUACAGAGCCAGGUGGGCACUGCAUCUCUGAUUUCCUUGUCCAGAAAUGCUCCGCCAUGAUAAAAACAACAGCUUCUGUGCUUUGGCACCUCCUCGGAUGCAGACAUCAGACUUGGUGUUUAUCCAAAGGAGCAUCUCAUUUAUUCUGCAAAACAAUGUUCCAUUCAAAGAUGAAGAACUGAAGCUCUCAGAGGUAACCAGCUACCAGGGCCACAGAGCUCAGGGGCAAGCAAGCAGAACCCUGGUGGUAUCUGUUUUGCUGACCGCUAUUUCCAAGGGCCCUCCUCCUUCUACUCCACAGCUGCGAGGAAAGCUUCCUAAAGGAGAGGCAAAUAUUCAAGUGGGUGUUUAUUGGUAUUAAGUGUUCUGUUUCUUGAUCUGGAUGGUACAUACAGGGGGAUUUAUUUUGUUAUUGCUCUUUAAAUGGUACAAAUACAUUUUCACACACACAUACAUACGCAUACAUGUGUUGUAUAUAUCAUACACUGCACACUCAUAAC
This is a long non-coding RNA of Bubalus bubalis (water buffalo), 1515 nucleotides long. RefSeq lists it as uncharacterized. The record is from RefSeq and is a predicted model, not a curated record. Lineage: Eukaryota; Metazoa; Chordata; Mammalia; Artiodactyla; Bovidae. The transcript has 2 exons.